This 69-nucleotide transfer RNA is filed under the name Pheidole taipoana. RNAcentral describes it as "tRNA-Thr". The record is from RNAcentral. Lineage: Eukaryota; Metazoa; Arthropoda; Insecta; Hymenoptera; Formicidae.
AGUUUUAUAGUUUAAUAAAAAUAUUAAUUUUGUAAAUUAAAGAUAAUUUAUUUCACUAAUUUAAAACUA